GCGGGAGUGGCGAAAUUGGUAGACGCACAAGAUUUAGGUUCUUGCGCCUUAGGUGUAAGGGUUCGAGUCCCUUCUCCCGCACCA
RNAcentral lists this transfer RNA (84 nucleotides) under Anaerobiospirillum sp. RNAcentral's name for it is "tRNA-Leu". It matches the Rfam family "tRNA". From Rfam's summary of the family: Transfer RNA (tRNA) molecules are approximately 80 nucleotides in length. Their secondary structure includes four short double-helical elements and three loops (D, anti-codon, and T loops). Lineage: Bacteria; Pseudomonadati; Pseudomonadota; Gammaproteobacteria; Aeromonadales; Succinivibrionaceae. The record is from RNAcentral.